UGCGUAACGCGUAUGCAACCUACCAUCAACAGGGGGAUAACACUGAGAAAUUGGUACUAAUACCCCAUAAUAUCUCAUGCGGCAUCGCAUGGGGUUGAAAACUCCGGUGGUUGAUGAUGGGCAUGCGUUGUAUUAGCUGGUUGGUGAGGUAACGGCUCACCAAGGCGACGAUACAUAGGGGGACUGAGAGGCUAACCCCCCACAUUGGUACUGAGACACGGACCAAACUCCUACGGGAGGCAGCAG
RNAcentral lists this ribosomal RNA (246 nucleotides) under uncultured bacterium. RNAcentral describes it as "partial 16S ribosomal RNA". It matches the Rfam family "Bacterial small subunit ribosomal RNA", at positions 107 to 354 of the family's 1533-position model. The record is from RNAcentral.